CCAAUGCUGUGAUACUAUCUGGUCUAGGAUGGUUCUGGCUCCCUGGGGCCAGAUCCUGCUCUGUAGCUCCCACAGGAGCAACCAUCACAGACCAAAGGCCAGCGGGGGCCGCAACACUCAAGGACUGUUUCUCCCACCGCCAUCUGUGGAUUUUUCCAGCUGUUUUCCUUGGCCCAAGGAUCACACCCAUAGGGAUGCAGAUGGGGGAAGGGGAAGCUGAGGAAACAGUGAAGUCAGAACGAGCUGGGGAAGAGACAGAUGGUAGGAAAUGGAGAUGGAGAAAUGGCACUAGUGGCCCGACCAUCUGAGAUGGGAUACCUGGGAGGGACAUCUUUUCAAGCAGAGGCUGUGUUAGGGCAUGGUGAGAGAGGGUCUUAGCAGGUAACCUUCCUUUCCUCUCCAGACUGAGGAAUCAGAGUUCUGAUUGUGGAGUGCCUCUCUCUAGGACUGGGCUGCAGCCUAGGAGUCCCAGCUGCUUACAUCCAGGUCCAGGAUUAUGUCUGCUAACAGACGCUGGUGGGUACCAGCUGACGACAAAGACAGUGUGUCUGAGAAGCUCCUGAGGAAGACUCGGGAAUCUCCCCUGGUGCCUAUAGGUGCUGUGUACACAAUGUACAGUGAUUACAUCAAGAGGAUGGCACAGGAUACUGGAGAGAAGUAGGACUCCUAUAGGAGCCGGGGCCGUCCGACUCCCCUAAAUCAAUCCCUAGUACAUUCCUAAUAAAGUAGCUUUGAGGAAAAUCAA
Macaca mulatta (Rhesus monkey) is the source of this 745-nucleotide non-coding RNA. NCBI's taxonomy places the organism in Eukaryota, Metazoa, Chordata, Mammalia, Primates, Cercopithecidae. The record is from RefSeq and is a predicted model, not a curated record.